GUCGUACUUCCUCCGUCUGAAAAUACUUGUCAUCAAAAUAGAUAAAAAGAGAUGUAUCUAUAACUAAAAUAUGUCUAGAUACAUCCUCUUUUAUCCAUUUUGAUGACAAGUAUUUCCGGACGGAGGGAGUAACUU
Triticum aestivum (bread wheat) is the source of this 135-nucleotide non-coding RNA. Lineage: Eukaryota; Viridiplantae; Streptophyta; Magnoliopsida; Poales; Poaceae. The record is from Rfam.